Molecule: ribosomal RNA, 251 nt
Filed under: Pseudoalteromonas sp. SR44-8
Lineage: Bacteria; Pseudomonadati; Pseudomonadota; Gammaproteobacteria; Alteromonadales; Pseudoalteromonadaceae
Description: partial 23S ribosomal RNA
Rfam family: Bacterial large subunit ribosomal RNA
Source: RNAcentral
CAAGCAGUAGGAGCCCACUUGUUGGGUGACUGCGUACCUUUUGUAUAAUGGGUCAGCGACUUAUAUUUUGUAGCGAGGUUAACCGAAUAGGGUAGCCGUAGGGAAACCGAGUCUUAACUGGGCGAAUAGUUGCAAGGUAUAGACCCGAAACCCGGUGAUCUAGCCAUGGGCAGGUUGAAGGUUGAGUAACAUCAACUGGAGGACCGAACCCACUAACGUUGAAAAGUUAGGGGAUGACCUGUGGCUAGGAG